UGCAGAUUGUGCCAAAGUGAAAACUAAGCACUCUGAGAAAUUGUAUUUGUUCCUUGGUUGUGCAUCACUUACAGGAUAUUCUCAAAAGAAAUGAGGAGACCACAGGAAAUGCUUUUAAGCUGAUAUGCCGGAGGCUUAGAGCCAUGUUAGCUUUCUGAUAUGGGCAAAAGUCGCUUUAGAGUGCUUUGAUGGUGUAGCAAUGCUACUUGUAAGAUGAUUUAAUCCAAACUUUUCUGUAUUGCCUACAUUCUUCCUGGUGAAAUAUCACAACCAUGGAGUAAAACAAUAGAGCGGUCUCCACUGGAGACAUGUAUGUAACAUUAGAAACCAAGUCCAGGUAGAGCAAAAACCACUACGAAAUGCUGAAAUGAAGUGGAGCACAGCCUUAGUAUGGUGAGUCAUAUCCUCGGUCCUUAAACUGCAGACAGGGAGGUGGGUUGGUCAGUGAGCAGCUACAGCCUUUCUGCAAUUGUUCUUAUGUAUAUAAUCUGUCCAUGUAGGAGCUCAGUCGUAGUUGAAGAUCCUUUGAGUCUGUACUGUGCAAACCUGAAAAAAAAACAGAUUCCACCUCAUGGAGUGCAAGAUGCUGGAAGCACAGUAGCUUUGAAUUUCUUCAGUUCAGCUAAAGGUAGGUAAGUUCUUUAAAUAUGUAUUAGUAUCAUCAUAAAUUCAACAUACAUUAAUAUAAAAAGUGCUUAUUGGUUACUUGAGACCUCUAACCCUCCCUUUGCUAGCCAGUGAUACAGAACCCUUAGAAAUCGGAGUUUGUUGGUGAAAGUAAUGCUCUUCAGAUGUUUCUUCCCAUUCAUUUUUCUGAAUUCCUCACACUCCACUUUGCUGAAAAUCUUCUCUGUGGUCUUUGGGGUUUGAGGCAGGCAGGAUCUGUAAGCCAGUGUGAUGCUCAGCUGAGAUACUCCCAUCCCUCACGAAGUCCACCUCUUCCCUGACCUCAGUCAGCAUAUGGACAGCAGCCACCCACACGUGGCACAUUAGAGGAUUAAGACCUUAAUGACAUUUUUUAAAUGCCACUAUUAAAAAGGGACUUCCAUCCUGUAGAACACUUAAAAAAUAACAUUUGUAAAAAUGCUUCCUGAGCAGCAUAUUCCCUUUAACAUUAUCUCAUCUAUUUGUAUACUAAUAAGAAUUCUUUUCUUCUCAGUCUCUGCUUGAACAUUUCAACACUGGAUUUAUGAUUCCAUGCUUUGUGCUGUCAAGAUUUUACUUAUAUUUAGAAAAAUAGUAUCUCAGUAAUUAAUUGCAGAUAAAUUAUUGACAAAGCAGCAGAUGCAAAGGAAGAGUGCUCUAUAUCUAAAAGAGGCUUUUCAAGCAGAUACAUUUGUAAUAUCACAUAUAUAUACUUUUAAUAUUCACUUUUCUGAAAUAAAUCCAUGGUUAUCUAGCA
This 1402-nucleotide long non-coding RNA is filed under the name Anser brachyrhynchus (Pink-footed goose). Its description in RNAcentral is "lncRNA (ENSABRG00000006311.1)". The record is from RNAcentral. Lineage: Eukaryota; Metazoa; Chordata; Aves; Anseriformes; Anatidae.